CACGACUACAUUAGAUACCCGGGUAGUCCCAGCCCUAAACGAUGCGCGUUAGGUGUAUCGGUGACCACGAGUCACCGAGGUGCCGAAGGGAAACCGUGAAACGUGCCGCCUGGGAAGUACGGUCGCAAGGCUGAAACUUAAAGGAAUUGGCGGGGAGCACCACAAGAGGUGGAGGCUGCGGUUCAAUUGGACUCAACGCCGGAAAACUCAUCGGGAGCGACAGCAGUAUGAUUGCCAGGUUGAUGACCUUGCUUGACAAGCUG
This 263-nucleotide ribosomal RNA is filed under the name uncultured archaeon. RNAcentral's name for it is "partial 16S ribosomal RNA". It matches the Rfam family "Archaeal small subunit ribosomal RNA", at positions 718 to 982 of the family's 1478-position model. The record is from RNAcentral.